This 449-nucleotide ribosomal RNA is filed under the name uncultured bacterium. RNAcentral describes it as "partial 16S ribosomal RNA". It matches the Rfam family "Bacterial small subunit ribosomal RNA", at positions 29 to 523 of the family's 1533-position model. The record is from RNAcentral.
AGCGAACGCUGGCGGCAGGCCUAACACAUGCAAGUCGAACGCACUCUUCGGAGUUAGUGGCGGACGGGUGAGUAACACGUGGGAACGUGCCUUUAGGUUCGGAAUAACUCAGGGAAACUUGUGCUAAUACCGAAUGUGCCCUUCGGGGGAAAGAUUUAUCGCCUUUAGAGCGGCCCGCGUCUGAUUAGCUAGUUGGUGAGGUCACGGCUCACCAAGGCGACGAUCAGUAGCUGGUCUGAGAGGAUGGCAAGCCACACUGGGACUGAGACACGGCCCAGACUCCUACGGGAUGCAGCAGUGGGGAAUCUUGCGCAAUGGGCGAAAGCCUGACGCAGCCAUGCCGCGUGAAUGAUGAAGGUCUUAGGAUUGUAAAAUUCUUUCACCGGGGACGAUAAUGACGGUACCCGGAGAAGAAGCCCCGGCUAACUUCGUGCCAGCCGCCGCAGUAA